This 286-nucleotide long non-coding RNA is filed under the name Vigna radiata. Its description in RNAcentral is "long non-coding RNA (VRAD_LNC001345)". The record is from RNAcentral. Lineage: Eukaryota; Viridiplantae; Streptophyta; Magnoliopsida; Fabales; Fabaceae.
AAGCUCCUAGGAAUUAGGUGAACAACAUUAAUUGUAGUCUAGUCGACGUCGGGUUUUCAGAGGAUCCGACGUCUAUGCGACGUCUAAAGCUGAUCCAGUUGACGUUUGAUUUCCUGUCAGUGACUUGAACGUCGGUGCCUUCUCCUAGCCGACGUCGAAUUGACUGUCUUAUCAGAUACCUCAGGCAAUUGGACGUCGGAUAGUUGGCAGGUGUGACGUCUAUGAUGUCAUAGACGUCGCCUAACAGCGAAACUGACGUCUAGUUUUCCAAUAUAUUUACGAUAAU